Molecule: long non-coding RNA, 462 nt
Organism: Zea mays
Lineage: Eukaryota; Viridiplantae; Streptophyta; Magnoliopsida; Poales; Poaceae
Exons: 3
Source: RefSeq, a predicted model, not a curated record
AGCUCAUAGGCGCGGUAAUAGUAAACUGCCUCCUCCUUGGGCAAUCGUGGCCAUUGCUAUUCUUGGUUUCAAUGAGAUCAUGGUGCUUAUUAGGAAUCCCAUUUAUCUGUUCUUGCUAUUUGUGGGCUACUUGAUGGUCAAAGCUUUGGCGAUGCAGCUAGAUGUCAGCAGAGAAUUCCAGAAUGGAGUGGUUCCUGGGAUAAUCUCUGUGUCGGUGAAGCUCCUACCAACGAUACAGAACCUACUUUCUAAGUUAAGUUAUUUUGUUUAAACCUCACGAGACAUUUAACCAUUUGCAUAAUUAAACCUCACAAAUGCAUUGUUUAUUGAAAAAUGCAUGUUACCAUUUGAAUGCACUAGAUGCUAGUUGGGUGCAUGAUAGAUUCAUUGGUUCUGCCCUCUCUUUAGAAAGCCAUUUGAUAUUAUGUUAGUUUUUUCCCUCCUGUUGGGAACUGCAUGUUG